RNA transcript from Chenopodium quinoa (quinoa), 3516 nucleotides. It is a transcript of the gene named pollen-specific leucine-rich repeat extensin-like protein 1, with no coding region annotated. The record is from RefSeq and is a predicted model, not a curated record. The transcript has 2 exons. Lineage: Eukaryota; Viridiplantae; Streptophyta; Magnoliopsida; Caryophyllales; Amaranthaceae.
GCAUAAUCACGAUUCGACUCGAUUUUUUAUCACCUCUAAUAGUCUAAUUUGCUAAUUUACAUUCCUAUGCUCUAUGCAGAUGAAGCCCAUUUCGACCGUACAAAUUUCUAUCGCAGUUGAUUCUUCAAUUAAAAUUACUUUAAUACCCCUGAAAACAAUCACUAGCUCAUUUACUACAAAUACCCAACUAAAAACAGCAUUUGCGGUAUCAUUUCUCUUUCUGACUUUAUAAGAGUUGCCUUAAAAGGUAAUGAUCCGCUACACCAGUGGUGUAUGGUGGUACUCCUGCUUUCGAGCUCGGUCGAUCACAGCCGUCUGAUUUAGGAUGAUCUUAUUCGGCUGCCGUCCGAUCGUAUCAUUCUUCGAUAGUUGAUCAUGUUUUUGGUCGUAGAAAUGAUGUUGAUGAUGAUUGUGUUGGGACUAGAUGGGCUGUUCCGUUCUCACUGCCUGGUCUUAUGGAUACUGCCGUACUGGAAUUACAGGCAUCAGGUAAUUUUUUGUCGUUUCCAAAACUUAUUUUGAUUUGUCUAAACUUGUUAACCAUUAUUUAUACAUACAAAGUAAUUAUUUAUAAUAAUUUCCUAAUAAUCAUAGUUGUAGAUUAGACUUGAAUAUGAGUUGUUAAAAUUAUAGAGCAUACGCAAUAUGUGCACAAUAUGCUUGGGAUUUUGAAGUAAAUUAUAAGCUUUUAAUAAAUAUAAAUAAGUUUUUAGUAAACUACUUGAAGUAAAGGACAAUUUUGCAAUGGUUACACUAAUUUUGUAGCCAUUUUAACUUUAUAAUCAUAAUCAUGACCAUUCAUUUUUAAUACUAAAUCCACACCAUUUACUAAGUUGACCAAAAAAAUUAAGUUGACCAUAAAAAUUAAGGUACAAUAUUCAAAAUAUCUAACGGUCAACUUAUUAGAGUUAUAAAUGAGUUGAACUAAACAAGAACUUAAAGGGGACAUACGGGUACCUUAUGAAAUUAUGGACCUUAAUGUCUUGGAUUUUGGAUAUCUAACUACAUCAAUAACCUAUAAAUAUGAAAUAAUUAGACUUUAGAAUAUCCUUGUUUAAAUUUUUUUUUUUUUUUUUUUUUUUUGGUUUGUUUGGGGUAGUUAAGGUAGUUGACUUAGUUAUUAGACCUGACUCGCUCCUCCAAGUUCGAUCCCCAAACCAAACCCUUGGAGGGGAGGGAUGACUAUGUAUUCUUCUCCGUCAAAGAGCUCUUAGAGGGAUGAUUCUGAUCCAAUGACCUUGAAGUCAAGAGGCCAAACCUUAAACACUAGGUCAAGAUUAGCUUCUGGUACUGCUUUUGGGUUAAUGUAUACAACCACUAAUAUUUUAGCAGUUUUAUACUAUGUAUGUAUGUAGUGCUAAUUUAUUAAUUGUUUGUAAUGAGUAGUCCAGUAUUGGACUACAUAGCAUUAUUCCAUUAUUAAUUAGUAGUGUGAAAAAGAGAAUUAUCCAUGUAGCUAGGUGUUAGAGGAAUUUGAAACCUUGAAGUUUUUGGUUUCAGUAGGCUUUGCCAAUUGAACUCCCAUCAAAAGUUUGCAUUUUCUCGAGGCUCCAAUGCAUAUUGUAUAAGCCCCUGAAAUUUUUUACAAUAACAAAAGAGUAAUGCAAUGCUCAACUUGGAACUUUGUAAAACUACAAUAUGCUAGCCUUAGUUUCUUUAAUGCUCCUAUUUAUAGUUUGCUCAACCCUAUUUUUAUUAUAUGCUCAGUUUGAUCUUACAUUCGUUUCGAUGUCCUAUACAGUCCGAUGUUUGUCAUGCUUACCAAGUGCUUGUUGUGGUAGGAUUAUACUGGGGAAGACGUGAUUGUGAACAAUUUUUAAGCAGCUACACUCGGUCCGAAACUUCUAGUGUAGUCGUCGGCUACUAUCCAUUAUAUAUUAACUUGUUAAAAUCCAUAUCUUUGAUGUGUCAUGUGUUUACAUAAAUCUUAGCCAUGCAUCCAUCUAUUAAUUUUUAAAAAAUGAUAAAUCUUGCUUUUAUUUAUAAUUCAAUAAAAUCAUGUCUGUUUUAGGGUUUAUAUUACAAAAAUGAUCAUUACUAAAAUUUUGAUUAGUAAUAUAAUUUAUUUAUUUUUGUAAUAAUCAUUAGUAAUAUAAUUUUUUUUAAUAUUAGCCUUUAAUUCAACUUUAUUGAAUAAAAUGUUUUGUUUUAUAGUAAUUGUCAGAUAAUAUAAACUCCUUCAUUAGAGUGAUUUCCAUUAAUCAAUAUUUAUAUGAGAGUCAUAAUCAUGCUAGAUAACUAACAAGAUAUGUAAAGAUAUCAUAAAGAUAUUCUUCUACAAGAUAUAUCCUAAACCUAGGAUGAGAAUAUUUUAUGAAUAUUCUCUAUUAGUAAUGAUGAUUUUGGUGUGUUUGAUGCGGUUUUUUUUUUUUUUCACAUGAGGUUAAAUAACAAAAUAAGUAAAACUAAACAAUAUUAAAGGACGAUAAGCUAUAAUUUGCCAUGGUAGCGGGGAGAUGAGCCUUGUCCACUUGGUCUCUCUGAAACUUGUGGAUGCUACACCUUUGCGGAGUAUUUUUUAUCACCUCUAUUAUAAAACCAUAAUAAAUUUUUGGGUAUUUUCAUUUUUACCACCUUCAAAUAAUGACUUUGUCGAAUUUACCACCUCCAAAAAAAAACAUUUACUUUACCACCUCAUAAAAAAAUUAAACAUCAGUUUUACCACCUCAUCUGAGCUCAGGUGACGGAAAACGCUUGUGGGGCCCAGUUAACUGUCACUUCCCUCCAAUUUAAUUCUUUUAAAAUCGAUUUCCCUCUGUCUCCUCCUUUUCUCACCUUCCACCUUCCAUAAUCAAUGUCUCACCAAAUUUCUCACUUCCUCAUCAAUUUUCGUCUCUCUUUCCUUUGAUUUUUCUUGAUUCUCACUGUAACUGCUUCUCUCUCCUUUGAAUUUUCUCUUUCUCUCUGUAAAAACUGAAACCCUAGAUCAAUUUGGGUGGUUGAAAUCGAGCUGGAACCACAAAAUUGCAACACAUCAGCUUCUCUUGUCAUCUUCCACAGGGUGAGGGGACCAAAAGCUUGGUAAUUUGCUGACAGAAAUCGAGAUUCCUGACUACAAGAGGCUGCACUGAAGUUGCCACAAUAUCAGCCUCCAACAACAGCACAGGCUGGGUCAAGUAAUGUUGCACCUGCAACUGCUGUGUCAAGCCAGCCUGCAACAAGAACAGAGCCUUUGCCAACUCAGCCUGUUACCAGGAGCAACAGGAGCCUGAGUCAGCCCACAAGAGUGCCAACAACUACUCCUCCCAAAGUCAAAAUACAGACCAGGUCCAAGCUUCAUGUAAUGACAAGCAAGAAGGACAAGGAUCUCAAUCAACUUUGACCCUAGGUCUACUCAUUAGUAUUUUGUAAUAGACAACCAAGUUUAUUUGGUAGUUGAACAAUGAUAGUUGAACAAUGAUUUUGCACAAAGGUGCCUUAACUUUUGUCUCAGCCAAUGUAAAACAAUUUCAAACAUUGUGUUGCAAGUACUAAUACGAAUUGUGAUAUGUUUCUACCAAAAAGUUCCAUUUCUCA